AACGAACGCUGGCGGCAGGCUUAACACAUGCAAGUCGAGCGCCCCGCAAGGGGAGCGGCCGACGGGUGAGUAACGCGUGGGAACGUACCUUUUGGUUCGGAACAACUCCGGGAAACUGGAGCUAAUACCGGAUAAGCCCUAACGGGGAAAGAUUUAUCGCCGAAAGAUCGGCCCGCGUCUGAUUAGCUAGUUGGUGAGGUAACGGCUCACCAAGGCGACGAUCAGUAGCUGGUCUGAGAGGAUGAUCAGCCACACUGGGACUGAGACACGGCCCAGACUCCUACGGGAGGCAGCAGUGGGGAAUAGUGGACAAUGGGCGCAAGCCUGAUCCAGCCAUGCCGCGUGAGUGAUGAAGGCCUUAGGGUUGUAAAGCUCUGUUGUCCGGGAAGAUAAUGACUGUACCGGAAGAAUAAGCCCCGGCUAACUUCGUG
This 431-nucleotide ribosomal RNA is filed under the name uncultured bacterium. RNAcentral's name for it is "partial 16S ribosomal RNA". It matches the Rfam family "Bacterial small subunit ribosomal RNA", at positions 29 to 507 of the family's 1533-position model. The record is from RNAcentral.